GACGAACGCUGGCGGCGUGCUUAACACAUGCAAGUCGAACGGAAAGGCCCUGCUUUUGUGGGGUGCUCGAGUGGCGAACGGGUGAGUAACACGUGAGUAACCUGCCCUUGACUUUGGGAUAACUUCAGGAAACUGGGGCUAAUACCGGAUAGGAGCUCCUGCUGCAUGGUGGGGGUUGGAAAGCUUCGGCGGUUGGGGAUGGACUCGCGGCUUAUCAGCUUGUUGGUGGGGUAGUGGCUUACCAAGGCUUUGACGGGUAGCCGGCCUGAGAGGGUGACCGGCCACAUUGGGACUGAGAUACGGCCCAGACUCCUACGGGAGGCAGCAGUGGGGAAUAUUGCACAAUGGGCGGAAGCCUGAUGCAGCAACGCCGCGUGCGGGAUGACGGCCUUCGGGUUGUAAACCGCUUUCGCCUGUGACGAAGCGUGAGUGACGGUAAUGGGUAAAGAAGCACCGGCUAACUACGUGCCAGCAGCCGCAGUAA
RNAcentral lists this ribosomal RNA (484 nucleotides) under uncultured bacterium. RNAcentral describes it as "partial 16S ribosomal RNA". It matches the Rfam family "Bacterial small subunit ribosomal RNA", at positions 28 to 523 of the family's 1533-position model. The record is from RNAcentral.